This is a long non-coding RNA of Zophobas morio, 339 nucleotides long. RefSeq lists it as uncharacterized. Lineage: Eukaryota; Metazoa; Arthropoda; Insecta; Coleoptera; Tenebrionidae. The transcript is spliced from 3 exons. The record is from RefSeq and is a predicted model, not a curated record.
CUUUAACGCAUCACCUCGUGGCGUAAGUUCUGUUUUGCAAAGUUGUUUGUGUUUUUUGUAAAGUUGUUUGUGUUUUUUGCAAAGUUGUUUGUGUUUUUUGUAAAGUUGUUUGUGUUUUUUUUGUGGUGUUUUAUGACUUUUAUUUUAAAAUGCCAAGUUGUUCUGUUCCUUUGUGUAAAAAUAAAAGCCGAUUGUUUCGUCUUCCAACAGGUGUUAGUAAUAGGUCUAGAAGAGAGAUGUGGGAGAAUUUAAUAGGCCGGGACGAUUUGAACGACAACUCCAGAAUUUGCGAAUUACAUUUUUCUGAACAACAAUUCGAAGCAAAGCGAGCAGAUGGAA